CAGGUAUUUAUUUACACAACAAAAACUGUAUAAAGUGUUACAAUGUAAAAAUAAAAAAAAAAGACAUUCUGUACAAAAUAUCAUGGUUAGAGAAAGGUCAAUGUUAGAGAUGGUUACAAUCGCAAAGGUCAAUAUGACUGUACUGGUGUUUUUGUGGUAUGAAACAUAUUAAGAGACACGAGGCUACUGUUUGAACACUGUCGUAAUGCUGCAGGUAGCCUAGCGGUCAGAGUGUUGGGCAGGUAACCGAAAGGUCGCUGGUCUGAAUACCGGACCUGAGUAGGUGAACAAUCUGUUGCUGUGCCCUUGAGCAAGGCACUUAACUGUAAUUGCUAAUUGUACAAUGGGGACCCCACUCUCGGAGGAAGUUGGGAUAUGGUGACCCUGACCGUGACCCCACUCCCUGCGGGUGUGUCUGGGGGAGUUGGACAUGGUGACCCUGACCGUGACCCCACUUCCUGGGGGUGUCUCAGGGGGAGUUGGGAUAUGGUGACCCUGACCCCAAACCCUGCGGGUGUCUCAGGAUAUGGUGACCCUGACCGUGACCCCACUUCCUGGGGGUGUCUCAGGGGGAGUUGGGAUAUGGUGACCCUGACCAUGACCCCACUCCCUGCAGGUGUGUCAGGGGAGUUGGGACAUGGUGACCCUGACCGUGACCCCACUUCCUGGGGGUGUCUCAGGGGAGUUGGGAUAUGGUGACCCUGACCAUGACCCCAAACCCUGCGGGUGUCUCAGGAUAUGGUGACCCUGACCGUGACCCCACUUCCUGGGGGUGUCUCAGGGGAGUUGGGAUAUGGUGACCCUGACCAUGACCCCACUCCCUGCAGGUGUGUCAGGGGAGUUGGGACAUGGUGACCCUAACCCCAAACCCUGCGGGUGUCUCAGGAUAUGGUGACCCUGACCGUGACCCCACUUCCUGCAGGUGUCUCAGGGGAGUUGGGAUAUGGUGACCCUGACCCCACUCCCUGCGGGUGUCUCAGGAUAUGGUGACCCUGACCCCACUUCCUGGGGGUGUCUCAGGGGGAGUUGGGAUAUGGUGACCCUGACCGUGACCCCACUCCCUGCGGGUGUCUCAGGGGGAGUUGGGAUAUGGUGACCCUGACCGUGACCCCACUCCCUGCGGGUGUCUCAGGGGGAGUUGGGAUAUG
This is a long non-coding RNA of Oncorhynchus tshawytscha (Chinook salmon), 1148 nucleotides long. NCBI's taxonomy places the organism in Eukaryota, Metazoa, Chordata, Actinopteri, Salmoniformes, Salmonidae. The record is from Ensembl.